RNAcentral lists this ribosomal RNA (465 nucleotides) under uncultured bacterium. Its description in RNAcentral is "partial 16S ribosomal RNA". It matches the Rfam family "Bacterial small subunit ribosomal RNA", at positions 28 to 507 of the family's 1533-position model. The record is from RNAcentral.
GACGAACGCUGGCGGCGUGCUUAACACAUGCCAGUCGAACGGAAAGGCCCUGCUUGCAGGGUACUCGAGUGGCGAACGGGUGAGUAACACGUGGGUGAUCUGCCCUGCACUUCGGGAUAAGCCUGGGAAACUGGGUCUAAUACCGGAUAGGAGCCAUUUUUAGUGUGAUGGUUAGAAAGUUUUUUCGGUGUAGGAUGAGCUCGCGGCCUAUCAGCUUGUUGGUGGGGUAAUGGCCUACCAAGGCGGCGACGGGUAGCCGGCCUGAGAGGGUGGACGGCCACAUUGGGACUGAGAUACGGCCCAGACUCCUACGGGAGGCAGCAGUGGGGAAUAUUGCACAAUGGGCGCAAGCCUGAUGCAGCGACGCCGCGUGGGGGAUGACGGCCUUCGGGUUGUAAACUCCUUUCGCUAGGGACGAAGCUUUUUGUGACGGUACCUAGAUAAGAAGCACCGGCUAACUACGUG